GCUGAGGGCGGUGAUGGAUCCCGCCAGGGCUAGCCGCCCGAACCGCCGCCAGGGCUGAUGGUUCCUGUCUCGUC
RNAcentral lists this non-coding RNA (74 nucleotides) under Cellulosimicrobium funkei. RNAcentral's name for it is "Fluoride sequence". It matches the Rfam family "Fluoride riboswitch aptamer (crcB RNA motif)". The record is from Rfam by way of RNAcentral. Lineage: Bacteria; Bacillati; Actinomycetota; Actinomycetes; Micrococcales; Promicromonosporaceae.